This 247-nucleotide long non-coding RNA is filed under the name Phoenix dactylifera (date palm). RNAcentral describes it as "long non-coding RNA (PDAC_LNC001775)". Lineage: Eukaryota; Viridiplantae; Streptophyta; Magnoliopsida; Arecales; Arecaceae. The record is from RNAcentral.
UCCUCCGAGUGGAGCCCCACCGGCGAAGAAGUCCCGCCGGCAGGCGACUCCGACGCCGACAGACGGGUCCGGACCCACCGAUCAGGGGGACGCCGCGGGCGCGGACCGGGAGUUGACGCUGUAUCAGCCCUCCGAUGCCGAGACUACCGUUUCUCUGGAGGCAUCACCCGGGCGCGCCCGAGAUGGACGGGUCGGACGUGAUCGGUCCCCAGCCCAGCCUUCGACUCGGUCGGCUCCGGAUGAUACG